AGUGAACGCUGGCGGUAGGCCUAACACAUGCAGGUCGAACGGCAGCACAGUAAGAGCUUGCUCUUACGGGUGGCGAGUGGCGGACGGGUGAGGAAUACAUCGGAAUCUACUUUUUCGUGGGGGAUAACGUAGGGAAACUUACGCUAAUACCGCAUACGACCUACGGGUGAAAGCAGGGGAUCUUCGGACCUUGCGCGAUUGAAUGAGCCGAUGUCGGAUUAGCUAGUUGGCGGGGUAAAGGCCCACCAAGGCGACGAUCCGUAGCUGGUCUGAGAGGAUGAUCGGCCACACUGGAACUGAGACACGGUCCAGACUCCUACGGGAGGCAGCAGUGGGGAAUAUUGGACAAUGGGCGCAAGCCUGAUCCAGCCAUACCGCGUGGGUGAAGAAGGCCUUCGGGUUGUAAAGCCCUUUUGUUGGGAAAGAAAAGCAGCAGGUUAAUACCCCGCUGUUCUGACGGUACCCAAAGAAUAAGCACCGGCUAACUUCGUG
RNAcentral lists this ribosomal RNA (492 nucleotides) under uncultured bacterium. Its description in RNAcentral is "partial 16S ribosomal RNA". It matches the Rfam family "Bacterial small subunit ribosomal RNA", at positions 29 to 507 of the family's 1533-position model. The record is from RNAcentral.